GGUAAAUUAGAUACUAUAUUAUUUCAUAUAGAAUGAAACAGUGGUGGCGCCAUACGGAAACUUUUCCUAAGGUCUGACUAGCAUAGUACUUAGUCUUGUUUCAAGACGCUCAAUCUCAUUUUCUUGUGGUGAUCGAAAUAACUCGCCUAAGGACAGUUAAAACAAGAUCCUUAACAAAAUAAAAGAUAAUCUCUUGAACCAAACUAAGAACUAUGCUGUCAACGGUAAAAGCGAAGAACUCACAUCGAUGUCCCUGAGUAACUGGAGGUCAAUGAGGUCGGCGGUUUGCAGAGGUCACGUUCAACAGGUGAUCAGGUAUAAGUAUCGGUAAGUGGAAAAGAGUCAACUCUUUUUCUCCCGGGAUCCAAAAUGUCUUAUUUUCACUGAUUUGAAUUUUUUUGUUUAUUUUCACAGAUUUGAGACCUGACGCCAAGUCUUUGCAGCACAGGUUAAGUAUUGGGCGAAGAGUGAGGGCAAGUGUGAAAGAAAAAUUUCUUGCUUAUAGUUUCUAACUUUCUCUGUUUGUUUGUGUUUAUUUUCACAGAUUUGGGACCUGAGAUCAAGUGAGUUCAAUAAAGUGUUUGCAGCACAGGUUAAGUAUCAGGCGAAGUAUUAGGUAAAGUUUGAGAGCAAGUGUGAAAGAAAAGUUUCUUACUUUUAACUCUUAACUUUUCCCUUCACGGGCCAGCUGUUACCUUGAUUGUUUGCUAAAGUGGAUGUUGUGGCAAACAGAUGUCAGCUCUGGGACACUGUAGAUGACAUCAAUUUGUUUUGAGCAGUCUCUUGUGGAGUGGUGAUGAAUACAACCCAGACCUGUUUAAUGGAUGAACAUCGUUGGAGCAGACAGGGAGUGAUGACUACAAAUGAACCUGUUUGGAUGAGCAUCGCUAGAAGUCAGCUACAGGGAGUUAACAACAUCUUGUGCUGAGUUUGAAAUAAAUUAUUUUGAAACUUUUGUGUGGAGAGAAGCUUAAUCUAAUCAGAAUAACCAUGUUUUGAAGGUUUCUAAUAAUCGAUUUGAAAGCUUCAUUUCAAUCCUUUGCAAUAAACACAUCGUUAUAACGAACCUGGGGAAACUUCAUUAAAGUAUGAGGUCUAAGAUUGUCAGAAGAGUUUUCUCAAAAGAAAGAAACUUCAACUAAACCUGGAAUGUUGAGUCUUGCUGUGUGUGCAUGUUCAAUGAGUUGAAGAAACUAUUGGACCUUGGGGAGAUUUUAACUACUUUCUGAUAAUAGAUGUUAAAUUUGCAUCUGGGAUAAAGAUUAUUAGUUUUGUUUUUUACCCAUACACCGAUGUGUCUUAGCACUGUAUAGGCCUACUGGGUACUUUCUCAAGUCCUAUGAGGGUCGUGGGUUCGAAUCCCACCUGAGUAACAUGCCUGGACUCUGGGAAAGUACCGAGUAUACAGUGCUAACACACAUCGGUGUAUGGGUAAAAACCAAAAUUAUUAUUUUCUAAUACUUGUAGAAAGAGUUUAUCAAAACUGUAUAUUUUCAUCUUAAGGUUGUGAAGAUGACUUUGUAGAAGGCCUCUACGCUACUUGGACGGUGUACCACCUGAGCUGAAGAAAGACUGUGUCCAGUCUAGCCAACUGACUCUCUACUACAACUCAUGAGAGUCAAACCAGCCCUUUUUGGACUGGUGCAAAGAGUCGACAACAAACUACUUGAUUGAGAUGAUGACCUGCACACAACAUUGAGGCUAAUCAACACUCAUUGGACUGAGUGCAACCAGCUGAAGAGGACUGUACCAGUUGAAGCUCCUUGACUCUAUGCUACAAGUUUAAACGCUCAAGGGACAUUAAUUUUGGGCUAUGGCCAUUGAUGGCCUACCAAUGCUUUAUGAACUCGGUGUCGCCAUCUGAAGAAGAACUGUAUAAAGUCUAGCUCCCUGACUCUAUACUACAAGUUUAAACACGCUCAAGGGACAUUAAUUUGAGGCUAUGGCCAACCAACGCUUUUUGAACUUGGUGUCAUCAUCUGAAGAAGAACUGUAUCAUAGCUCCCUGACUCUAUGCUACAAUGAGUUCAACUGUAUCAAGUUUAGCUACCUGACUCUAUGCUAUGUGUCCACGAAUGUUGUGAUGAUAAUAACCACAACUUUUUGAACUAAUCAGCUGAAGAUCUGCAUCAAAGACUAUAUGAUAAAAUAAGAUGUUUAACUGUUUUCUGAACUAUCACUUCUCAAAUGGAGAUUAUACACAUGGUUAUACCUGCAAGUUUACUAGUCGUAGUUACUUCUUAUUUUCACACCAUGCAAAUCUUCAAUGCUUUUUGGACUGUCACCAACUGAAGAAAGACUGUGUCAAGUGAUCUCUACAUGUUUGAACUGAAACAAGCUGGACCAUGAGGGCGCCUUACUGUAUGAUGUCAACACUCAAGGGGAUCGGACCAAUGAUGUCAUACCUGAAUGUGUGGCUGUGGCUAUGGCUGCAGUUGUUGUUAUGGGAGUCACAUUGGUUUAAGAAUUAUUAACUCUAAAGAUGGAACAGCUUUUGAAAAGAAAAAAACAAAUAGCUUAAUCAGGUAACCAACAAUGUUGGAAUCCAAGCGCAAUUAUGAGACCUGAACUUGGUGUUUUUGUGGUUUUUUACCCAAAACGUUCGACUACAAAAUGAUUAAAAAUGCCAAGAAAAGACAAAACUUGAUUGCAGGGAAGAUUAAAACAAAAUUAAUUUCUAUUUAAACAAAACUCAAGUUACCAAAGUUCUUUGACAUGUUCAACAUCAUGGCAAGAAAAGCUCAGCUUAAGUCAUUUUGUUAUAAUGGUAAACUGUUUGUGAUGAAGGAAGAAAACCUUUUG
This is a long non-coding RNA of Asterias rubens (European starfish), 2802 nucleotides long. RefSeq lists it as uncharacterized. Lineage: Eukaryota; Metazoa; Echinodermata; Asteroidea; Forcipulatida; Asteriidae. The transcript is spliced from 3 exons. The record is from RefSeq and is a predicted model, not a curated record.